CUUUAAGUGGCAGAGAAUGCGUAGAAUUUAGGCUUCUACUACGAGGGUCUCCUCCUUAAAAA
This 62-nucleotide transfer RNA is filed under the name Sphaeroma terebrans. RNAcentral describes it as "tRNA-Leu". The record is from RNAcentral. Lineage: Eukaryota; Metazoa; Arthropoda; Malacostraca; Isopoda; Sphaeromatidae.